This is a non-coding RNA of Caenorhabditis elegans, 93 nucleotides long. NCBI's taxonomy places the organism in Eukaryota, Metazoa, Nematoda, Chromadorea, Rhabditida, Rhabditidae. The record is from Ensembl.
CCCAUGUGAUGUUUCUCGGCUUACAACUUUUGAAAUACGUAUCAGAUUUCCAAGAGAUCAGGAGACGCAGACGAUAAAUCACGUCACGGAUAC